AGUGAACGCUGGCGGUAGGCCUAACACAUGCGAGUCGAACGGCAGCACAGUAAGAGCUUGCUCUUACGGGUGGCGAGUGGCGGACGGGUGAGGAAUACAUCGGAAUCUACUUUUUCGUGGGGGAUAACGUAGGGAAACUUACGCUAAUACCGCAUACGACCUACGGGUGAAAGCAGGGGAUCUUCGGACCUUGCGCGAUUGAAUGAGCCGAUGUCGGAUUAGCUAGUUGGCGGGGUAAAGGCCCACCAAGGCGACGAUCCGUAGCUGGCCUGAGAGGAUGAUCAGCCACACUGGAACUGAGACACGGUCUAGACUCCUACGGGAGGCAGCAGUGGGGAAUAUUGGACAAUGGGCGCAAGCCUGAUCCAGCCAUACCGCGUGGGUGAAGAAGGCCUUCGGGUUGUAAAGCCCUUUUGUUGGGAAAGAAAAGCAGCAGGUUAAUACCCCGCUGUUCUGACGGUACCCAAAGAAUAAGCACCGGCUAACUUCGUG
Molecule: ribosomal RNA, 492 nt
Filed under: uncultured bacterium
Lineage: Bacteria
Description: partial 16S ribosomal RNA
Rfam family: Bacterial small subunit ribosomal RNA
Source: RNAcentral